This 464-nucleotide ribosomal RNA is filed under the name uncultured bacterium. Its description in RNAcentral is "partial 16S ribosomal RNA". It matches the Rfam family "Bacterial small subunit ribosomal RNA", at positions 339 to 795 of the family's 1533-position model. The record is from RNAcentral.
CUACGGGGGGCUGCAGUGGGGAAUACUGCACAAUGGGCGAAAGCCUGAUGCAGCGACGCCGCGUGGAGGAUGACGGUUUUCGGAUUGUAAACUCCUGUUAAGCGGGAAGAAAGGCGUGUGGCUAAUAUCUACACGAGAUGACGGUACCGCUAGAGAAAGCUCCGGCCAACUUCGUGCCAGCAGCCGCGGUAAUACGAAGGGAGCGAGCGUUAUUCGGAAUUACUGGGCGUAAAGGGCGCGUAGGCGGCUCAUUAAGUCAGUUGUAAAUACCAUGGCUUACCCAUGGAAGAGCAAUUGAUACUGGUGGGCUAAGAGGGCAAGAGAGAGGAGUGGAAUUCUCGGAGUAGCGGUAAAAUGCGUAGAUCUCGAGAGGAACACCGAUGGCGAAGGCAGCUUCUUGGCUUGUACCUGACGCUGAGGCGCGAAAGCGUGGGGAGCAAACAGGAUUAGAUACCCGGGUAGUC